This 484-nucleotide ribosomal RNA is filed under the name uncultured bacterium. RNAcentral describes it as "partial 16S ribosomal RNA". It matches the Rfam family "Bacterial small subunit ribosomal RNA", at positions 29 to 523 of the family's 1533-position model. The record is from RNAcentral.
AGUGAACGCUGGCGGCGUGCUUAACACAUGCAAGUCGAACGAGAACGGAUUAUAGCUUGCUAUAAUUGUCAGCUAAGUGGCGCACGGGUGAGUAAUGUAUAGGUAAUAUGCCUCUUACUAAGGGAUAACAAUUGGAAACGAUUGCUAAUACCUUAUAUUCCUUUUUAUCAAAAGAUAAAAAGGGAAAGAUUUAUUGGUAAGAGAUUAGCCUGUAUUGUAUCAGUUAGUUGGUGGGGUAAUGGCCUACCAAGACAAUGACGCAUAACUGGUUUGAGAGGAUGAGCAGUCACACGGGAACUGAUACACGGGCCAGACACCUACGGGAGGCAGCAGUGGGGAAUAUUGCACAAUGGACGAAAGUCUGAUGCAGCAACGCCGCGUGGAGGAUGACACAUUUCGGUGCGUAAACUCCUUUUAUAUAAGAAGAUAAUGACGGUAUUAUAUGAAUAAGCACCGGCUAACUCCGUGACAGCCGCCGCCGUAA